GGGCUCGUAGCUCAGCGGCAGAGCGGGCGGCUCAUAACCGCUUGGUCCCAGGUUCGAUCCCUGGCGAGCCCA
This 72-nucleotide transfer RNA is filed under the name Chloroflexi bacterium RBG_13_51_52. Its description in RNAcentral is "tRNA-Met". It matches the Rfam family "tRNA". From Rfam's summary of the family: Transfer RNA (tRNA) molecules are approximately 80 nucleotides in length. Their secondary structure includes four short double-helical elements and three loops (D, anti-codon, and T loops). The record is from RNAcentral. RNAcentral also lists the same sequence under 1 other name. Lineage: Bacteria; Bacillati; Chloroflexota.